ACUAGAAUAUACAACUAAGUACUGGGGGGCUUUGGGGAGAAGAAGAAAAAGGAAAAAAUUCAAAAUCAAACACGCCUCCAUCCUUGAGCUUAAGAAAGUUAUUGCAAAAGAAAUAAAAGGAUGCCAACUCUCACUCUCGUUGGCACCUGUGGCUCCCGUUACAUUUGUGUUGGACAGCACUGGCCUGGAAUAUAAUACACCCUUUCUCGAAUAUUGGUAUCCCCAUUUUACCGAUGAACAAACCAGCUCAGAGGUUGAGUGGCUUGACCAGGGACACGAGCUAAUGACCUGCAGAAGCCAGAAUUCACAUCACGAGAGGCCAGUGAUCCUGGUGGGACAGUCUACUCCUCGAUGAAAGUCCUAAAACAAGGGAUGUGCUGUUGUUUUGACAAGAUCUUAUGCCGACGUGUUUAGUCCCAGGAAGGACUGAAGCCACUUUGGAAUCUGGGGAAAACAAAAUAAAAGCCUGUGACUCAGGGCUUAGGGGGACCUCCUGACACUAGCCAAGAAUGUCAAGGCGCAGGAUAAUUCUUAGUGCGCAGUGCUUGGGCAGGCUUUUCGAUUCUCUGUGUGGACUUGGGCCAGUCCCUUCCCCUCUCUGGGACUCAGCUUCUCCAUCUGUGAACAGAGGGACCGGAUUAACUGUUCUCUGAGGUCCAUCAGGAUCCAUGGUGCAUCUCAGCAGAUCCCUCCCUCCCUGUGGUUGAGAGUGAGUUUGAGAGCCACUUGCUGGGUCCUGGGGCAAGUGACAGUUCUCUUGUGUCCUCUGUGAGAUGGGGAUGAGGACAGUGUGGACUUCAGAGAGCUUCUCUGAGGAUUAAUGAGCUAGUUCAGGUGAUGCUCUCAGCACUUGCCUGGCACACAGGAAGUGCCCAGUAAAUGCUUGCUCUUGUCGUCAGCGCAGCAGAAACCAAGUUGACCUGCUGGCUUAGAGAGUUCUCGGUCAGCAGACUCAGAUUCACGAGCAGCAUCUGCCUUGGAGCCUCCCCUUAGCCUGACGCACUCAAAUGCCGAAUUUGAUCCAAGUUCUGAAGGCUGAAAGUCCAAGAUCAAGAUGCCAGACGAUUCAGUUUCUUGUGAGGACCCACGUCCUGGCUUGUAAAGGGCCGACUUCUUGCUGUGCUCACGUGGCUGCUCCUCAGAGAUGCUGUUCCAGAGAGGAAGCCGGGGCUGCAGUGCCAUGAUGCUAAGACAUCUGGAAAAUGCUCUCGAAAACACAAGCCACUCUGGUCGUAUCAGAAUAUGUAUCGCUGAAAAAAGCUGAAGAUGAGAGGCAGGGCCACUAAAAGACCCUCAGGAAGGUCCUGGAGCUGAACUGACACAGACCCUCUCAGGGAGACAGAUAGGGACCGUGCUAGCCACCCACUUCUGGAGGCUUCCGAGAUUGCUGCUGCAAUAACUUUAUCAUCAAGACCAUGUGCAUUUCAAGUCACAAAGCCAGAAGUAGGCAUGUGACACAGUUCUUGCCAAGGAGACACCAGCUGGAAUCCCCGGUAAUGCUCCCAGGAAAGAUUUUUAAAGGGACUAGACUGAAUAGGCAUAUGCCUGUCUACUCUUCUCCCCUUCCUCCUUUCUUUCUUGUUUAGAAUGUGAGUGUGAUGUUUGGAGCUUCAGCAGCCAUAUUUUGACCACGAGCCAAAUUUGAGGAUGACAGCCAUGCACUCAGAAUGAUGGACUAGAAAAAUAAAAAGAGCCUGGACCUCUUCUCCAAGACAAUGCUGUGGAGCUGCCAUACCAGCUCUGGAGUGCCUGC
This is a long non-coding RNA of Equus quagga, 1753 nucleotides long. RefSeq lists it as uncharacterized. The record is from RefSeq and is a predicted model, not a curated record. NCBI's taxonomy places the organism in Eukaryota, Metazoa, Chordata, Mammalia, Perissodactyla, Equidae. The transcript has 5 exons.